Molecule: ribosomal RNA, 583 nt
Filed under: Bacillus sp. (in: firmicutes)
Lineage: Bacteria; Bacillati; Bacillota; Bacilli; Caryophanales; Bacillaceae
Description: bacterial SSU rRNA
Rfam family: Bacterial small subunit ribosomal RNA
Source: RNAcentral
UACAUGCAGUCGAGCGGACAGAAGGGAGCUUGCUCCCGGAUGUUAGCGGCGGACGGGUGAGUAACACGUGGGUAACCUGCCUGUAAGACUGGGAUAACUCCGGGAAACCGGAGCUAAUACCGGAUAGUUCCUUGAACCGCAUGGUUCAAGGAUGAAAGACGGUUUCGGCUGUCACUUACAGAUGGACCCGCGGCGCAUUAGCUAGUUGGUGGGGUAAUGGCUCACCAAGGCGACGAUGCGUAGCCGACCUGAGAGGGUUGACGGCCACACUGGGACUGAGACACGGCCCAGACUCCUACGGGAGGCAGCAGUAGGGAAUCUUCCGCAAUGGACGAAAGUCUGACGGAGCAACGCCGCGUGAGUGAUGAAGGUUUUCGGAUCGUAAAGCUCUGUUGUUAGGGAAGAACAAGUGCGAGAGUAACUGCUCGCACCUUGACGGUACCUAACCAGAAAGCCACGGCUAACUACGUGCCAGCAGCCGCGGUAAUACGUAGGUGGCAAGCGUUGUCCGGAAUUAUUGGGCGUAAAGGGCUCGCAGGCGGUUUCUUAAGUCUGAUGUGAAAGCCCCCGGCUCAACCGGGGA